This 253-nucleotide ribosomal RNA is filed under the name uncultured bacterium. RNAcentral's name for it is "partial 16S ribosomal RNA". It matches the Rfam family "Bacterial small subunit ribosomal RNA", at positions 524 to 776 of the family's 1533-position model. The record is from RNAcentral.
UACAGAGGUCCCAAGCGUUGUUCGGAUUCACUGGGCGUAAAGGGUGCGUAGGCGGUCGGGUAAGUCUGACGUGAAAUCUCCAAGCCUAACUUGGAAACUGCGUUGGAUACUAUCCGGCUCGAGGAAUGGAGGGGAGACUGGAAUACUUGGUGUAGCAGCGAAAUGCGUAGAUAUCAAGUGGAACACCAGUGGCGAAGGCGAGUCUCUGGACAUUUCCUGACGCUGAGGCACGAAAGCCAGGGGAGCAAACGGG